This 439-nucleotide ribosomal RNA is filed under the name uncultured bacterium. RNAcentral's name for it is "bacterial SSU rRNA". It matches the Rfam family "Bacterial small subunit ribosomal RNA", at positions 954 to 1392 of the family's 1533-position model. The record is from RNAcentral.
GCUAAACGCGAAGAACCUUACCAAGGCUUGACAUACACGAGAACAUCCCAGAAAUGGGGGACUCUUUGGACACUCGUGAACAGGUGGUGCAUGGUUGUCGUCAGCUCGUGUCGUGAGAUGUUGGGUUAAGUCCCGCAACGAGCGCAACCCUCGUUCUAUGUUGCCAGCACGUAAUGGUGGGAACUCAUGGGAUACUGCCGGGGUCAACUCGGAGGAAGGUGGGGAUGACGUCAAAUCAUCAUGCCCCUUAUGUCUUGGGCUUCACGCAUGCUACAAUGGCCGGUACAAAGGGCUGCAAUACCGUGAGGUGGAGCGAAUCCCAAAAAGCCGGUCCCAGUUCGGAUUGAGGUCUGCAACUCGACCUCAUGAAGCCGGAGUCGCUAGUAAUCGCAGAUCAGCAACGCUGCGGUGAAUACGUUCCCGGGUCUUGUACACACCG